RNAcentral lists this ribosomal RNA (936 nucleotides) under Diplomitoporus rimosus. RNAcentral's name for it is "eukaryotic LSU rRNA". It matches the Rfam family "Eukaryotic large subunit ribosomal RNA", at positions 24 to 941 of the family's 3401-position model. Lineage: Eukaryota; Fungi; Basidiomycota; Agaricomycetes; Polyporales; Climacocystaceae. The record is from RNAcentral.
UACCCCGGUUGGAAACUUAAGCAUAUCAAUAAGCGGAGGAAAAGAAACUAACAAGGAUUCCCCUAGUAACUGCGAGUGAAGCGGGAAGAGCUCAAAUUUAAAAGCUGGUAGCUUUGUUACCCGCGUUGUAAUCUGGAGAAGCGUUUUCCGCGUCGGACCGUGUACAAGUCUCUUGGAACAGAGCGUCAUAGAGGGUGAGAAUCCCGUCCAUGACACGGACUGCCGAUGCUUUGUGAUACGCUCUCGAAGAGUCGAGUUGUUUGGGAAUGCAGCUCAAAAUGGGUGGUAAAUUCCAUCUAAAGCUAAAUAUUGGCGAGAGACCGAUAGCGAACAAGUACCGUGAGGGAAAGAUGAAAAGCACUUUGGAAAGAGAGUUAAACAGUACGUGAAAUUGUUGAAAGGGAAACGCUUGGAGUCAGUCGCGUCUUCCAGGACUCAGCCUUGCCUUCGGGUUUGGUGUACUUCCUGUUAGACGGGUCAACAUCGAUUUUGGUCGGCGGAUAAAGGGAAAGGGAAUGUGGCACCUUCGGGUGUGUUAUAGCCUUUUCUCGUAUACGUCGUCUGGGAUCGAGGACCGCAGCGCGCCUACUAGGCCGGGGGUUCGCCCCACGUACCGCGCUUAGGAUGUUGACAUAAUGGCUUUAAGCGACCCGUCUUGAAACACGGACCAAGGAGUCUAACAUGCUCGCGAGUGUUAGGGUGGAAAACCCUUGCGCGUAAUGAAAGUGAAAGUUGGGACCUCUUUGAGGGCACCGACGCCCGGCCCAGAAGUUUUCUGACGGUGCUGCGGUAGAGCGCGUAUGUUGGGACCCGAAAGAUGGUGAACUAUGCCUGAAUAGGGCGAAGCCAGAGGAAACUCUGGUGGAGGCUCGUAGCGAUUCUGACGUGCAAAUCGAUCGUCAAAUUUGGGUAUAGGGGCGAAAGACUAAUCGAACC